RNAcentral lists this ribosomal RNA (699 nucleotides) under uncultured bacterium. RNAcentral's name for it is "bacterial SSU rRNA". It matches the Rfam family "Bacterial small subunit ribosomal RNA", at positions 56 to 754 of the family's 1533-position model. The record is from RNAcentral.
UGCAAGUCGAACGAUGAAGAAAAGAAUUGAAGCUUCGGCAGAAAUUCAUUUCGGAUUAGUGGCAGACGGGUGAGUAACGCGUGAGCAACCUACCUCUUACAAAGGGAUAGCCUCGGGAAACCGGGAUUAAUACCAUAUAACAUUGCGACGAAGCAUUUCGAUGCAAUCAAAGCUACGGCGGUAAGAGAUGGGCUCGCGUCCCAUUAACCAGAUGGUGAGGUAACGGCUCACCAUAGUAACGAUGGGUAACCGGCCUGAGAGGGUGAACGGUCACACUGGAACUGAGACACGGUCCAGACUCCUACGGGAGGCAGCAGUGGGGAAUAUUGCACAAUGGAGGGAACUCUGAUGCAGCGACGCCGCGUGAGUGAUGAAGGAAUUCGUUUCGUAAAACUCUGUUCUAUGGGAAGAAAAGGACUGUACCAUAGGAGAAAGCUCCGGCUAAAUACGUGCCAGCAGCCGCGGUAAUACGUAUGGAGCGAGCGUUGUCCGGAAUUAUUGGGCGUAAAGGGUGCGCAGGCGGCUUUACAAGUUGAAUGUGAAAUAUUGUGGCUCAACCACAAACGUGCAUCCAAAACUGCAAAGCUUGAGUUAAGGAGAGGUAAGUGGAAUUCCUGGUGUAGCGGUGGAAUGCGUAGAUAUCAGGAGGAAUACCGGUGGCGAAGGCGACUUACUGGACUUAAACUGACGCUCAGGCAC